CUAAUACAUGCAAGUCGAGCGGACCGACGGGAGCUUGCUCCCUUAGGUCAGCGGCGGACGGGUGAGUAACACGUGGGUAACCUGCCUGUAAGACUGGGAUAACUCCGGGAAACCGGGGCUAAUACCGGAUGCUUGAUUGAACCGCAUGGUUCAAUCAUAAAAGGUGGCUUUUAGCUACCACUUGCAGAUGGACCCGCGGCGCAUUAGCUAGUUGGUGAGGUAACGGCUCACCAAGGCGACGAUGCGUAGCCGACCUGAGAGGGUGAUCGGCCACACUGGGACUGAGACACGGCCCAGACUCCUACGGGAGGCAGCAGUAGGGAAUCUUCCGCAAUGGACGAAAGUCUGACGGAGCAACGCCGCGUGAGUGAUGAAGGUUUUCGGAUCGUAAAACUCUGUUGUUAGGGAAGAACAAGUACCGUUCGAAUAGGGCGGUACCUUGACGGUACCUAACCAGAAAGCCACGGCUAACUACGUGCCAGCAGCCGCGGUAAUACGUAGGUGGCAAGCGUUGUCCGGAAUUAUUGGGCGUAAAGCGCGCGCAGGCGGUUUCUUAAGUCUGAUGUGAAAGCCCCCGGCUCAACCGGGGAGGGUCAUUGGAAACUGGGGAACUUGAGUGCAGAAGAGGAGAGUGGAAUUCCACGUGUAGCGGUGAAAUGCGUAGAGAUGUGGAGGAACACCAGUGGCGAAG
RNAcentral lists this ribosomal RNA (691 nucleotides) under uncultured Bacilli bacterium. Its description in RNAcentral is "bacterial SSU rRNA". It matches the Rfam family "Bacterial small subunit ribosomal RNA", at positions 48 to 720 of the family's 1533-position model. Lineage: Bacteria; Bacillati; Bacillota; Bacilli. The record is from RNAcentral.